Molecule: ribosomal RNA, 253 nt
Filed under: uncultured bacterium
Lineage: Bacteria
Description: partial 16S ribosomal RNA
Rfam family: Bacterial small subunit ribosomal RNA
Source: RNAcentral
UACGGAGGCUGCAAGCGUUAUCCGGAUUUAUUGGGUUUAAAGGGUGCGUAGGCGGAAUUGUAAGUCAGUGGUGAAAUCUUGCAGCUUAACUGUAAAAUAGCCAUUGAUACUGCAGUUCUUGAGUACACUUGAGGUAGGCGGAAUGUGUAAUGUAGCGGUGAAAUGCUUAGAUAUUACACAGAACACCAAUUGCGUAGGCAGCUUACUAAAUUGUAACUGACGCUGAUGCACGAAAGCGUGGGGAUCGAACAGG